UACGGAGGGGGCUAGCGUUGUUCGGAAUUACUGGGCGUAAAGCGCACGUAGGCGGCUUUGCAAGUCAGAGGUGAAAGCCCGGGGCUCAACCCCGGAAUUGCCUUUGAGACUGCAUCGCUAGAAUUGUGGAGAGGUAAGUGGGAAUUCCGAGUGUAGAGGUGAAAUUCGUAGAUAUUCGGAAAGAACACCAGUGGCGAAGGCGACUUACUGGACACAUAUUGACGCUGAGGUGCGAAAGCGUGGGGAGCAAACAGG
Molecule: ribosomal RNA, 255 nt
Filed under: uncultured bacterium
Lineage: Bacteria
Description: partial 16S ribosomal RNA
Rfam family: Bacterial small subunit ribosomal RNA
Source: RNAcentral